GUCCAGUGUUGUGGUGACCUGAGGAGGGGACCAGACUAUCACCACCUGGGCUGUCCUGUGUUGUGGUGACCUGAGGAGGGGACCAGACUAUCACCACCUGGACUGUCCAGUGUUGUGGUGACCUUAGUGUGACUUCUGUGGCCACUGGUCACACACCUGGGUCAUGUUUAUUAGGCACAGGACUGAAACAGGGAGGGACUACCUGAGCUUGUCCAAUAAGAAACGCUUGUGCGUUCAUAAGGCACCAAACGGAAGAAAACAGACUGCAACGGAGGGAACUACCUGAACUUCCAGUCCAAUAAGAAACUUAAUUUUUUUGUUUUCAGUUGCAAAACGUUUUGCUACGGUGUGCACUUAUGAACACGACCAUGCUUGGACUUCCUGUCUGUACUGUGACCCAGGCUGGCUCUGGGGGCUGGAGUCCUGCUGCUCUGUCCGUCUCAUUGGGUGCCAUUUGGGACUUACCCUCUUGCACAUGUCCACCUGCUAUCCAUCAUUCACAUGUCCAUCUACUAUCCAUCAUUCACCUGUCCAUCUACUAUCCAUCAUUCACAUGUCCAUCUACUACCCAUCAAUCACAUGUCCAUCUACUAUCCAUCAUUCACCUGUCCAUCUACUAUCCAUCAUUCACCUGUCCAUCUACUACCCAUCAUUCACAUGUCCAUCUACUAUCCAUCAUUCACCUGU
RNAcentral lists this long non-coding RNA (687 nucleotides) under Salmo salar (Atlantic salmon). RNAcentral describes it as "lncRNA (ENSSSAG00000118981.1)". The record is from RNAcentral. Lineage: Eukaryota; Metazoa; Chordata; Actinopteri; Salmoniformes; Salmonidae.